GAUGAACGCUGGCGGUAUGCUUAACACAUGCAAGUCGAACGGACUCAUAGGAAUUAGUGGCGGAUGGGGGAGUAGCGCGUGGGAAUCGGGCUUUGGGUAUGGGACAACCACUGGAAACGGUGGAUAACGCAGGAUGUGCCGCGAGGUAACAGAGUACUGGCCUGAAGAUGAGCUAGCGUCUGAUUAGCUAAUUGGUGAGGUAAAGGCUCACCAAGGCAGCGAGCAGUAGCAGGUUUGAGAGGAUGACCAGCCAAACUGGCACUGCGACACGGCCGUGACUACUACGGGACGCAGGGGUGAAGAAUGUUCCAGAAUGGGCGAAUGCGUGACGGAGGACUACCGCUUGAGAGAAGAUGGUUCUUGGGAAGAAAACCUCUUUGCUUAGGGAAGAACGAAAUGACGGUACCUAAGGAAUCAGCAACGGCUAACUCCGUG
RNAcentral lists this ribosomal RNA (435 nucleotides) under uncultured bacterium. RNAcentral's name for it is "partial 16S ribosomal RNA". It matches the Rfam family "Bacterial small subunit ribosomal RNA", at positions 28 to 507 of the family's 1533-position model. The record is from RNAcentral.